Molecule: ribosomal RNA, 421 nt
Filed under: uncultured bacterium
Lineage: Bacteria
Description: bacterial SSU rRNA
Rfam family: Bacterial small subunit ribosomal RNA
Source: RNAcentral
UGGGGAAUAUUGGGCAAUGGGCGCAAGCCUGACCCAGCAACGCCGCGUGAAGGAAGAAGGCCCUCGGGUUGUAAACUUCUUUUAUCAGGGACGAAGAAGUGACGGUACCUGAUGAAUAAGCCACGGCUAACUACGUGCCAGCAGCCGCGGUAAUACGUAGGUGGCAAGCGUUAUCCGGAUUUACUGGGUGUAAAGGGCGUGUAGGCGGGGUCGCAAGUCAGGCGUGAAAUUCCACGGCUCAACCGUGGAACUGCGUUUGAAACUGUGAUUCUUGAGUGAUGGAGAGGCAGGCGGAAAUUCCGUGUGUAGCGGUGAAAAUGCGUAGAUAUACGGAGGAACACCAGUGGCGAAGGCGGCCUGCUGGACAUUAAACUGACGCUGAGGCGCGAAAAGCGUGGGGAGCAAAACAGGAUUAGAUACC